GCAUAUGAAAGUUCCCAGGCUAGGGUUGAAUUGGAGCUACAGAUGCUGGCCUAUGCCACAGGCAUAGCAACACCAGAUCCUUAACCCACUGAGUGGGUCCCGCAUCCUCAUGGAUACUAGUCGGGUUUGUUUCUUCUGAGCCACAAUGGGAAGACAAUCAGUAGACUUACUCUUGAUGUAAGAUGUACUUACCCACAUCUUCAUGGAUACCAGUCGGGUUUGUUUCUUCUGAGCCACAGUGGGAAGACAAUCAGUAGACUUACUUUUGAUGUAAGAUGUACUUUGUACAGUGGAUGCUUUGCUGUUUUAAUCAUUUUUGGUUCAAAUCCAAGCCAACCCACAGCCCUACAAAACCCAUCCUCUGUCUCCUGACUUGACCCCUGCUGUCCAUUUUCCCACAUCCUUAAAAAAGUGCAACGUGUUCUGCUGUCUUCUUUUCUCUUCACUUCUUGGAUCUCAGCCAAAUCAACCAACUAUGUCCCAUGUAGCAAUGCUUACAGGGUAGCCUAGUGUUCCUGAGGAUAGGAUGGAGAGAAUGUGACUGUCCAUUGCUAGGACCAUGAAGUGUCCUUCUGCUCAAGGUAUGCUUGGUGGGAUGAGGAGACUCUACAGGAGUAUGUCUGGAUCCUGAAAAAUGUAGGAAGGCAAAUGUAGAGCCUUGAGGUGGGAUGAUCUGGGCACUGGGGGUGUCAUAUUCGUUCCAUACCCACCCCCUUAACUUCCAGAGGAAAAAACCAUUUGUAACUGUGAGAAACAUGACAGCCUCAUCCAAAGUCCAUGCAAGUAUUUGUUCAUUCCAUAAAUAUUUGUUGAGAGCUUACUAAAGCAGUAAAGUUAAUCACACAUAGUGUGUGCUGCCAUCGUGCCAGGUGGCAUGUGGAAAGCUUCACAUCUAUCAUUGUAUUUAACCCUUACAAUACACCAUGAAGUGCAUUGCUAUUUUGCAGGUGAGGAAAUUGAGGUGCAGAGAGGAAGAGGAAGAUGUCUGAGGUUGCACAUCUUGAAAGUGGAAGCUGGGUUUGCAAACAUGUCCUCUGACCCUAGAGGUUCCCCCCACCUGUAUUUAAUGACCACAUUCUAUUACUAAAGGCCCCACACUGAAGAUACUGAAGAGUGUAAAACAGAUGUCUGCCUGAUAUUAAGAUGGUCAACUGUCCCGGUUAGUGUGGGGCGGUCCCAGUAUCAGCGUUGAAGUCAUAGCCUAGGGCAUCCCUCAGCAUCAGACAAACCGAGACAGUUGGUUGUCAAUACUGCUAAUGCAGAUCUGUUUCUCCUUUGGGCAUGGAGAGGCUUAUCACAACUGUGCCCAAGGGAUUGAUGCCUCCUUGAUAUGUUAGUUCUAUUAAGCAGUACUGAAGGGGCCAAUGGUGUGGACUCCCCAAGAUGCUUCAGAGUGAACUUUUCAGCCCUUCUAGGUGCCCAUGAGGACGUAAACAGAACAAGGGAACGUGGCUCCAGGGCUGAGAAAUCCGAGCACAGAGAGGAGUCAGGGGAGUGUUUUCUAUGCACUCCUAAUUUCCCUCUCUCCCUCUUUUAGGGCCUGUUACCCACUUCUUUGUCUAUUUGAAUCUUUCUUUUAGGCAGAGAUUUCACUGCUUAAUAGUUGACUCUCCAAUGAGAUAGGUGCAUCCUGCUAUAGUCUUCUUACCAUGUACAGAUACAAGUUCAUUAAAGGAAACUGACUUUGAUUAAUUUUCUUCAAGAAUGUCCUUUAGUGCAGAAAAGAAUCAAAUACUUCUCUUCUUGUCUAGCAGCUAUUCUGGCUGCCACGUGUCAUGGGCGCAGGUUUAGACUGAUGGAAGCCUUGGAUUUUACAUCUGUUUUGCAUCUGUUCUUCUCUUUCCUGUCAUCAUCACAUGCAUUCUAAUUGCGCCUUAUUUAUAGUUCGAGGUGCUCCCUAUUAGACUAUAAACUCCUCGAGGGUAGAGACCACGUUGGUUUUAUUUUUCACUAUUUUUUAAUUACACAUUCAGCACGUGGUAUGGCAUAUGGUAUUCACUCAGUGAAUAUUUCUUGAAUGAGUGAAUGAAUUCCGUAUCGGAGCAACAAUAACAUUCAAUUCAAGUUCAACUUUUCAGGCUUCACCUUGCAAAAAAGUAAGACAGGAAGAAUUGACAAAGUUUUGUGUGUGAUCCUAGGUUGGGAUCUACAGACUCGUCCACUGUGUACAAAACAGCUAACAUUUAUCCAGUGUAUGUUAUGCACUGAGCAUGUGUAUGUAGUAACAUAUACACACGCUCAUCUAGUUCUUACUUGAUUUCAUGAAAGAUAAAACAAAUUCAAAAAGCGAUUAAAUAACUUGGCAAAUAUUAAGUAAUAAGUGAUCUAAACUUAUCACUAACCAGAACUUCACUUAGGAAACCUGACUCUGGUUUUUAACCACUGUGGAGAGCUGUCCUUUCUACAUACCUUGCGCUCUCCCUCCCUCUCGCUCUCUCUCUCCCUCUAACCCCUUUGCCCCCUUCUUCCUCUCUCUCAUACCUUGUGGUUGACAUUCUGAGUGUUGCCCAGCAAUUUGACCCUGGGUCAUGCACCAUAUUCCUUAGAAAGCCAUUGAUCAAAAUUCAGGGGUCAGAAGAUAGCCUCUUUCAUCCCCAAAGGGGCUCUUUACAUAUGCUUUUAUUAUCUAAUUUGUUAUUCUCUCAUUAAAGGGAAGUAUAUUUUCGGCCCAAAUAAAAUUUACCUUGGCACUUGUAUAUUCCACAUCAGUCUCUUAGGAAAUAAAUGUUGUGCUACCAUGGAAAGCAUUCCAAAGGCAUAGAUUUGUUGACAGUUGCAGAACUAUGGAAUUUGGAACCCUUCAAAAAUGGGAAGGAAAAUAAGGCUGCUUAGAUGGGAUUAUUGUCAAGGACCAUGUGAUUAGGACUUCAAAUUCAAACUACAUUAAAUCUAAAUACAGAAUUGUGAUGGAGAGAUCAAAGGAUGUAUUAGUUGAAAGAGUGCUCAGGUGGCCACUCUUGCGUAAGUCUUUUCUAGCUUCACUGAGCCAAUGUCCCACUUUUCUGUGGAGCUGAUGAUGUGUCCUGGCCUUGGAGUUACAGGUUCCCCUAGUGACCCUGUGCCUGAUGCUGCCCCAAGUUCCUGACCCAUAGAGCAUAUCUCGAACUUGUCUCUUCCAGCCAUCAUAAAAAGCCCAAGUAACACAGCUAUGCACUAAGUGAUGGACAUAUACUAUAAACAAAUUAUAGUUUUGAAGGCCAUGGCAGGACUUCUAGAGAUGGAAUGAGGGGCAAUUCCCUGUGAUGAGUUUUACACAAUAGCUGACAGUUUCAUAGAUUCUUUGCACCUUGGGGAUACUGUAGUUUUGGGGGAAAAUAACUGUGAGGAAAUAAGAGCAACUGUACCACAUACUAAAUUUUGGCUCUGAUGCUGUAAUAACAACAAAAGUCAGCAAAGAGUGGGCAAGGCAAAAUCCUCUAUAGGAAACACUGAAAGUUUAAUUACUGGUAUUUACUUGUACUUUUCUGAAUAUUACCCAUUUUCGUAAUUAGGUGAAAGUACUCGGUGAUGCUUUGCUUUCCACAGAUGAAAUAUUUCUUAAAAUGGUGGAAUGAAGAAUCCAUGAAAAUCAGUCAACCCCAAAACUUCCCCAAAUCUUCAAAAAUCUGUUCAACCUCAUCCAGCACUAAUUGCUGUAAACUUACAGUUAAGGGAAGCAACAUUUAAACACACUGAUAAUUUAGUGAACCGACUCUUUGUUUAAUUGAUUUUUCAGCAAAAUGCUUUUUUCAACAUGAGCCCCGUUCCCUAAAGGCCUCCUUUUCCCAGCUGCCAUCUGAAGCAUAUCCUGUAUCACAAAUGGAUAUCCAGUGGGAACUCCUGAAAUUGUCUGGGAUUGCCAACCCCAGGAGAGGUGGAGAUGGCUCCCCUCUUAGCCAUGCUGACAAUCAUCCUCUCCUGAUGUGCCCUAUUAAGGAGGGAUGUGAGCUUUCUUUUCCCUAAGGUUUCCAGCAACUUUUUGCUCUUUCCUUGCCUGUUCUUAGAACCUUGGAUGCCUUUUCUUUUCCCCAAACCUGGCCUCAUUUGUUAUAUUCUCUCACAGUCUAGUUCUCAAUUAAUUUCUCCACACUGUCUCCCUCUCCUCAGCCUGUAACCAUGCACACCACACAUGCAUUCCUUGGCACUCAGUUCCCCCAGCUACCCUUCCCACUACUUGCUGUUGUCUCAUCUUCACUAUUCUACUUCUUAUUAAAUUCCAAACCAAUAAUAUUGGGCUUUCAAGUAUUAUUUCAGUUCCCACUGAAAAUGUUCUCAAAACUUUCAGUGAUUUCUGGAGUUCCCAUUGUGGCUAAGCAGAUUAAGAACCCAACAUAAUGUCUGUGAUGAUGAGCGGUUCAAUCCCUGGCCUCACUCAGUGGGUUAAGGAUCCAGUGUUGCCACAAGCUGCUCUGUAGGUUGAAGACGUGGCUAGGGUCCAGCGUUGCGGUGGCAUAGGCCUCAGCUGCAGCUCUUGAUUCCACCCCUAGCCUGGAAACUUCCAUCUGCUGCAGAUGCGGCCAUAAAAAGAAAAAGAUUAUCAAUGGUUUCUUAAUUUCUAAAUUUGUGACCUUUUAUUGGUCAGUGUCCCUAAAAGCUUCUACCAACACCAUUCUCUCAUAGUUCUUUUACUUCUGUUUGGCUCUCUCUUUUUAGUCUCUUUUGCUGGAUGUUCCUCCACAAUUUUCUUCAAGUAGAGUUCUACACAAGUGUUAAUGGAAUUAUUGUUAUCAGCUGAUCAAUGCUUUCAUUCAGAAAAGGGAUAGGAGGUUUGCUUUUUAUAUCAAGACUGAUCCACACAUAGGUCAAGUGGAAGGAAAAAGUCCCUUUGAAUUCUACUUUGAACCCUUUUCCUGGCUCCUAGCUACUCUAGUGGCAGUGGAAAAGUAAGCAGAAGUGAUGUGAUGUUGCAAUAGCAUCAGAGACACUUUGUAUCUUGAGAUCACAAAAAAGUCAUGGGAUUCUAAGCCUGAUCCUGGAGAAUAAAUCUAGUGCAAGGUGGUCAGUGAACAUGGGGAUAUGAGAGGGCAGUAGUCAGAUUCCUGGAUUUUGGAGUGCUAUGGGAUGAAUUGCACCCCACCCCCAAAUUCAUAUGUUGAUGUCCUGACCCCAUUUCCUCAGAAUGUCACUAUAUUUGGAGAUAGUUUUUAAAGAGGGGAUUGUGCUGUAUGAAAGGGAUCUGUGUGGGGUAAAAAAAAAAAAAACAAAAAAAAACAAAAAACUUUCUCAUGAAUAUUUCCCCCCCAGUCAGGAAUUUGGAAUUUUCUACUAUUUCCAGAAGAAGAGGGAAGUAAUCCCCCUCAAUAUGCUAUUUGCUUCCUUAGUUGGAGCCACUCAUUCUGUAUUACCUUCACCUAAAGAGAAUUCUUUGUGACAGUGAUCCAGCAAACUUCAACAUUUGUCUCAGCAAAGAGCUAAAAAGCAAGACAGAACAAAACGGGAAAAAACCCUGAUGUUUAAAGAGCUCACAUCCCUUAUUCCAGAAAAAAAAAAACAAAAAAACAAAACGCAAUUCAGACAAGUUUCCUGCAUCAAGAUUUGUGCUAUCUUUAACAGAAUAUAUACCAAAAUUGGAAUAGGGUUUUAAAUUGGUUUCCUGACAAAGGCUAUAAAUUUUCCUAGGUGACUCAAAUUAUUCAUGAGAAAGGGGAGAUCUUGAUUUAUGCACUAGUUUUGUGUAAAUUUCAUUUUUGUAAAGUAAAUCACUUUUUCCAUUGACUCACAUUACAAUUUGAGAUAUGCUUUAUCUUCUUUUCUGAGUAAUCUUCAAUUGACAGAGGCUCUUUGCUCAUUCAUGCAAGCUUUUAAUGACCUAAAUGCACACACUUAAAUGAAGCAUAGCCAUUUAUAGAAGCUGCAAGGGAACUUUGUAUUCAUCCAACACACACAACACAUACUGACCAAAGGCCAGCUGUAUCACAGGGAUUGUGACUUCAAAGACAUGAACUCCCUGGCUUCAAGACGCUUACCAUCUUGGGUAGAUUGAAAAAUUGCUUUGAGAAGCAAAUAAUCUGCCUCCACAAUUUGAAUGCCCUGUGAUAUUCAUAUAAUGGUUCUUAAAAUUGCAUUGUAUCACACUGUAAAGAAUUUUGUCAUUUGUUCAUAUCUGAUCUAGUGCAUAUCAGUAAAGUCGAUGUUAUGUGUGUCACUGACAUUCCCAUGACCAUUUUAUUGCUUUGGGAGGUCAGGGAUCCUU
Molecule: long non-coding RNA, 6172 nt
Filed under: Sus scrofa (pig)
Lineage: Eukaryota; Metazoa; Chordata; Mammalia; Artiodactyla; Suidae
Description: lncRNA (ENSSSCG00050001137.1)
Source: RNAcentral